Oryzias latipes (Japanese medaka) is the source of this 2327-nucleotide long non-coding RNA. RefSeq lists it as uncharacterized. NCBI's taxonomy places the organism in Eukaryota, Metazoa, Chordata, Actinopteri, Beloniformes, Adrianichthyidae. The record is from RefSeq and is a predicted model, not a curated record.
AGUUGAGCUCAGAACACUUCCUGCGGAUCAGCCUCUUGUCAUGCACCACUGAACAGGGACGGUGGACAGCUCUGAACUGGGUUCCUGUUUUUGUUCUUCAAAUGGAAGGGAAUUUCAAGCCAUUUCUGUUUACUGUUCAACUCCCUACCCAGAGCAAUACUCAAGAAGAGAAACAAAGAAUUGAAAGUGAGACAGAGACUUGGAAAUCCCGUGAGCUUUAAGACUUUCUUAUAGAUCAGAGAAAAACUCUAUUAAGGAGAAGAAACUGUUUAUAAUCAGCAGACAGAUGAAACUUGUGGGUACUUUAUUUCAUGCUUUUGGUUUUUGAGCAAGAAUACAUUAUGUGUUCAUAUUUAGAAUUACAUGACCAAGUUUCUAUAUUUCAGCAUGUUUUAGGUAAAUUUGAAGUUAUUGUGUCGAAAUAAAAGUAAACAGAGAGCACUGGCCAUGAUACAAAGGGUCAGAAACAUGAUCAAAACAAGAAGUUAUCACUAUUAAAUCUAUGAUUAUCCUGUUAAACUUCAGUCUUUUAAACUCUCUCAAAUGCAGCAUGUUUAAGUCUCUGUUUCAGCUGAAAUGAAAUUUUUCACAUGUUUUGGUCUGAAUGAAUGAGUAUGUAUGUGUGAACAUCAGUUGUAUUGUGUACAUGUUGUCAUGUUUUGUAUGUUUACAUUUUUGGAGCCCACAGGUAUGUUUGUGACAUUUGAGUGUAUGUGUGGACAGGCCCCGCCCCUUCUAGAUUUGUAUUACAUCUAAAUGCGACCGUAAUGAGGUUUUCAGUUCUCAUCUGUUUGCUCAGCUGUUGGACAGGACAAGAAAAAAAAUAAAAAGAAAAAAGAAAUCCUUCAGAAUAAAAUAAUGGGAGAGUUUAGUUAGUUUAUUUAAGAAAAAGACAAAGAGAGGACAAUAACUCCAGAUGCCAUGACCCGACUUCCUUUUACUCUUUCAUUACUUCAUUUUCCUACUGACUUGUGUCUCUACCCUGAGUUAUAUUGCCUUAUCAGUGUUCAUUUCAUGAAGCUCACAGGUCUUUACCACAGUCAGGUAAGAACUUUGUCACAACUAACUGAUAAAUUUGUUGGUGAUUGCCACAGACGUACACUAUAUUACCAAUAGUAUUGGCUCACCUGCCAUGACUCACAUGUGAACUGAAUUGCCAUUCCAUUCCUAACCCAUAGAGUUCAAUAUAAUGUGGGUCUACCUUUUGAUGCUAUUACAGUUUCAACUCCUCUGGGAAGGCUGUCCACAAGGUUGAGCGUUUCUACAUGUUCCUUUCACUGGAACCAAGGGGCCAAGUCCAGAAAACAAGCCCACACCACAAUUCCUCCUCCACCAAAUUUCUCACUCGGCACAGUGCAGUCCAAAAUGGACCGUUGUCCUAGCAACCUCCAAACCCAGACUCCUCAAUCAGAUUAACAGAUGGAAAAGCGUGAUUCGUCACUCCACAGAAGGCGUCUCCACUGCUCUAGAGUCCAGUGGCGGUGUGCUUUCCACCACUGUAUCAACGCUUUGCAUUCCACUUGGUGAUGUGUGUUUGGAUGCAGCUGCUCGGCCAUAGAAACCGUUCCAUGAAUCUCUCUGCAUGCUGGACUUGGACAAAUCUGAAGGUCUGUUUGGAGCUCUGUAGCAAUUGACUGCAGAAAGUCCUCGACCUCUUUAUGCUUCAGCAUCCGCUGACCCCUCUCCAUCAGUUUACGUGGUCUACCACUUGGUGGCUGAGUUGCUGUUGUUCCCAAACUCUUCCAUGUUGUUCUGAUAGAACUGACAGUUGACUGUGAAAUAUUUAAGAGCGAAGAAAAGCAUUGAGUGAAUGAAAAAUGGAAGUCCUGCGCUUUGUAAUAAUUGGUGGGAUAUUCAACUUGUUCAAACUAUAUAUUUCCCUGACCAAUUUUGAACGCCUGUAUCCAUGGCAGGUACAAUACUUUUUACUACUACUUUGGUAUGGUGGAGGCAUGAUGUAAGACGGUUACCGAGAAGACGACAGCUAAAAAGGUACUGACAUGGUGCCUCUGUCAAUUACCUACCUCCUCCCCCUUCCUGCUCUGCUCUGGACGCGACCAGCUGGUUCCACUCACCUCAUCUCCAUCUCCGCCUACUUAAGGAGAUCCAGGACCUGUUUUCGACGCCAGUCCGUUUUUCCUCCCACGGAAUCAUCCUCACCACGAGUGAACCCCGGGUCGCAGUCCUCCUCUGUCGCUCCCCUCCUUGGAUUCAGCCGAAGCCACGCACUCUGGAUCGUCCUGCCACAAACCUCCAGUCAGCCGCCACGCCACAUCAAGAAUCCUGCUAUAUACUCACCACCUGUGAAUUAAACUCUCUUAACUCAC